AGCUGUUCCCCUCUGGAGGUUUUUAACCUUCACACUUUAAGGGCCCUGGAGUAAUCCGGUGGCCCCUUUUUUUUGGCUUU
This 80-nucleotide small RNA is filed under the name Allorhizobium ampelinum S4. Its description in RNAcentral is "Agrobacterium vitis S4 suhB". The stretch from base 1 to 71 matches the Rfam family "Alphaproteobacterial ar15", at positions 44 to 112 of the family's 112-position model. The record is from RNAcentral. Lineage: Bacteria; Pseudomonadati; Pseudomonadota; Alphaproteobacteria; Hyphomicrobiales; Rhizobiaceae.